RNAcentral lists this long non-coding RNA (1102 nucleotides) under Mus musculus (house mouse). RNAcentral's name for it is "predicted gene, 35409". The record is from RNAcentral. Lineage: Eukaryota; Metazoa; Chordata; Mammalia; Rodentia; Muridae.
UUGGAUGACUAGGUUGGGUAGUGCGUGAUAUUCUAAGAGAGAGAGGGAGAGAGAGAGAGAGAGAGAGAGAGAGAGAGAGAGAGAGAGAGAGAGAGACCCUUUAACACGAGAUAACAAAGAUCAAUGAUUAGGGGACAGUGUAGCUUGUCCAAGAAGAUGAAGCUGAGCUUUGAGUUCAGUCUGCUGGGAUCUAGAGCCCCUUUCUUUUCACUACACUAAGGCAGACCAAAUGAGUAGAGGGAAGAAAAAGAAGAUUUGAACUGAUCUAAAAUACAGGUCUGUCGCCUGCCAAAUGAAGGGUCUGGGCAGAGAAAACGACAUCGGCUCGUGGGGCUGGACAGCUUCGGAGAGAACUUGUUCUACUGAAGGAGAUCUGCCUCAGAUUCGUGUCUCACCGAGUAAUUCAACCUCCCUGGAUGAAGUUCAAGCCAGGAUGGCUGAGAGUUCAAGACCAGCCUAGGGGUUUGCUGUCCUAAGUAACAAUAAACUCCAACCCCCAAAUGCUGCCUGAUAGAUCUGUAGCUUCAGCCUGGAUGCUACCCUCACAGAGCUCAGUAACUGAAAGAGCGCGCAGCUGGGGGCGUGCCCAUCUCAGUCUGAUUCCAGAGUCUCCUUUCCUCUGUUAACCCGACCUGUGAGCUGUGGCUCCGUUCUCUGUCUUCCCUUUGCCCUUUAGUGGGCCUCUCAGUUCUAUCCUCUACAUCCAGGGCCUUCUCAUCUUUCACCUUGAACAGGUACCCAUGACCCCUUAAGAGGAUUUCUUGAACCUCUUAAGAGGAUUUCUGUCCAGGUGACUCUCCGUUCUAAUCCAUUCCUAAUCUUCUCACAGAGAAAGUGGGUUGUGCCGACUUCCUGCUUAGCCCUUCUGCUAACCCCCCCUCACAAACUGAAAUCACCCUCCUUGUGUGGGCGGGGUGAUGGGCGUUUCCUGUGUGGCUCCUUGUUCUCCUGCACCGACUUUUCCUGUGCUGGUUAAAUGAGUGCAGUGUCCUUUCACAUCUUAAUGAAAGCUCUCAGCUCUUUGCCAGUGUAGUGGUUUGAAUGAGAAUAGCCCCUACAGGCUCUUAUGAUUGAAUAGCUAGGUCCCUAGUUGGUGGAACUC